Molecule: ribosomal RNA, 524 nt
Filed under: uncultured bacterium
Lineage: Bacteria
Description: bacterial SSU rRNA
Rfam family: Bacterial small subunit ribosomal RNA
Source: RNAcentral
UAGUCCACGCAGUAAACGAUGAGUGCUAGUUGUCGGGAUUUUUCUCGGUGGCGAAGCUAACGCGUUAAGCACUCCGCCUGGGGAGUACGGCCGCAAGGCUAAAACUCAAAGGAAUUGACGGGGACCCGCACAAGCAGUGGAGCAUGUGGUUUAAUUCGAUGAUACGCGAGAAACCUUACCUAGACUAUAAUGUGAUCGACGAUUAAGGAAACUUAAUUUUCCCUUCGGGGACGAGAAACAAGGUGCUGCAUGGUUGUCGUCAGCUCGUGCCGUGAGGUGUUGGGUUAAGUCCCGCAACGAGCGCAACCCCUAUUUUCAGUUGCCAGCGAGUAAUGUCGGGGACUCUGGAAAGACUGCCUCCGUAAGGAGUGAGGAAGGUGGGGACGACGUCAAAUCAUCAUGGCCUUUAUGUCUAGGGCUACACACGUGCUACAAUGGUAGAUACAAAGGGUUGCCAAGCCGCGAGGUGGAGCUAAUCUCAUAAAGUCUAUCCCAGUUCGGAUCGGAGUCUGCAACUCGACUCC